GCCGGAAAUCUUACCGGGACCGACAGCAAUAUGAAGGCCAGGCUGAAGACUUUGCCGGAUUAGCUGAGAGGGUGUGCAUGGCCGUCGUCAGUUCGUACUGUGAAGCAUCCUGUAAGUCAGGCAACAAGCGAGACCCACGCCCACAGUUGCCAGCGUACUCUCUGGAGUGACGGGUACACUGUGGGACCGCCGCUGCUAAAGCGGAGGAAGGAAUGGGCAACGGUAGGUCAGUAUGCCCCGAAUAUCCCGGGCUACACGCGAGCUACAAUGGUUGGUACAAUGGGUAUCUACCCCGAAAGGGGACGGGAAUCUCCUAAAACCAAUCUUAGUUCGGAUUGAGGGCUGCAACUCGCCCUCAUGAAGCUGGAAUCCGUAGUAAUCGCGUUUCAACAGAACGCGGUGAAUACGUCCCUGCUCCUU
RNAcentral lists this ribosomal RNA (420 nucleotides) under uncultured Methanosaeta sp. RNAcentral describes it as "bacterial SSU rRNA". It matches the Rfam family "Archaeal small subunit ribosomal RNA", at positions 917 to 1338 of the family's 1478-position model. Lineage: Archaea; Methanobacteriati; Methanobacteriota; Methanomicrobia; Methanotrichales; Methanotrichaceae. The record is from RNAcentral.